Molecule: ribosomal RNA, 495 nt
Filed under: uncultured bacterium
Lineage: Bacteria
Description: partial 16S ribosomal RNA
Rfam family: Bacterial small subunit ribosomal RNA
Source: RNAcentral
GAUGAACGCUGGCGGCGUGCCUAAUACAUGCAAGUAGAACGCUGAAGGCGGAGCUUGCUCUUCUGGAUGAGUUGCGAACGGGUGAGUAACACGUAGGUAACCUGCCUUGUAGCGGGGGAUAACUUUUGGAAACGAUAGCUAAUACCGCAUGACAACAGUUAUUGCAUGAUAACUGUUUAAAAGGGGCAACUGCUCCACUACCAGAUGGACCUGCGGUGUAUUAGCUUGUUGGUGAGGUUAAGGCUCACCAAGGCGGCGAUACAUAGCCGACCUGAGAGGGUGAGUAGCCAGACUGAGACGGUGACACGGCCCAGUCGCAUUCAGGAGGCAGCAGGAGGGAAUCGGCAGGAAGGGGCGGAAGACAGAGCGAGAUACGCGGCGUGAGGGAAGAAGAGUGUCGGGUCGUAAAGCUCGGUUGUAAGGGAAGAACGAGUGUGAGAGUGGAAAGUACACACAGUGACGGUAUCGGACCAGAAAGGGACGGCUAACUACGUG